AGAGUUUGAUCCUGGCUCAGAACGUACGCUGGCGGCACGCCUAACACAUGCAAGUCGAACGAAGUAGCAAUACUUAGUGGCAGACGGGUGAGUAACAUGUAGGUAUCUGCCCUUUGGCCUGGAAUAACACGAGGAAACUUGUGCUAAUACCGGAUAAGUCUUUACGGAGAAAGCUUUAUGCACCAUUGGAUGAGCCUGCACUUGAUUAGUUUGUUGGUGGGGUAAUGGCCUACCAAGACUGUGAUCAAUAGCUGAUUUGAGAGGAUGAUCAGCCACAUUGGGACUGAGACACGGCCCAAACUCCUACGGGAGGCAGCAGUGGGGAAUCUUGCACAAUGGAGGAAACUCUGAUGCAGCGAUGCCGCGUGAGUGAAGAAGGCCCUUGGGUUGUAAAGCUCUUUCGUCGGGGAAGAAAAUGACUGUACCCGAAUAAGAAGGUCCGGCUAACUUCGUGCCAGCAGCCGCGGUAAUACGAAGGGACCUAGCGUAGUUCGGAAUUACUGGGCUUAAAGAGUUCGUAGGUGGUUGAAAAAGUUGGUGGUGAAAUCCCAGAGCUUAACUCUGGAACUGCCAUCAAAACUUUUCAGCUAGAGUAUGAUAGAGGAAAGCAGAAUUUCUAGUGUAGAGGUGAAAUUCGUAGAUAUUAGAAAGAAUACCAAUUGCGAAGGCAGCUUUCUGGAUCAUUACUGACACUGAGGAACGAAAGCAUGGGUAGCGAAGAGGAUUAGAUACCCUCGUAGUCCAUGCCGUAAACGAUGUGUGUUAGACGUUGGAAAUUUAUUUUCAGUGUCGCAGCGAAAGCGAUAAACACACCGCCUGGGGAGUACGACCGCAAGGUUAAAACUCAAAUGAAUUGACGGGGACCCGCACAAGUAGUGGAGCAUGUGGUUUAAUUCGAAGAUACGCGCAGAACCUUACCAACACUUGACAUGUUCGUCGCGACUCUAAGAGAUUAGAGUUUUCGGUUCGGCCGGACGAAACACAGGUGCUGCAUGGCUGUCGUCAGCUCGUGUCGUGAGAUGUUGGGUUAAGUCCCGCAACGAGCGCAACCCUCACUUUUAGUUGCCAUCAUUAAGUUGGGCACUCUGAAAGAACUGCCAGUGAUAAGCUGGAGGAAGGUGGGGAUGACGUCAAGUCCUCAUGGCCCUAACGUGUUGGGCUACACACGUGCUACAAUGGUAUCUACAACAGGAAGCAAGACUGCGAGGUCAAGCAAAUCCCUAAAAGAUACCUCAGUUCGGAUUGCACUCUGCAACUCGAGUGCAUGAAGCUGGAAUUACUAGUAAUCGUGGAUCAGCGUGCCACGGUGAAUGCGUUCCCGGGUCUUGUACACACCGCCCGUCACACCAUGGGAGUUGGUUCUACCUUAAGGCAAGGUUUCAAACCCUUGACCACGGUAUAGUCAGCGACUGGGGUGAAGUCGUAACAAGGUAACC
Molecule: ribosomal RNA, 1436 nt
Filed under: uncultured bacterium
Lineage: Bacteria
Description: bacterial SSU rRNA
Rfam family: Bacterial small subunit ribosomal RNA
Source: RNAcentral